RNAcentral lists this ribosomal RNA (672 nucleotides) under Sordariomycetes sp. genotype 76. RNAcentral describes it as "eukaryotic LSU rRNA". The stretch from base 140 to 672 matches the Rfam family "Eukaryotic large subunit ribosomal RNA", at positions 1 to 546 of the family's 3401-position model. Lineage: Eukaryota; Fungi; Ascomycota; Sordariomycetes. The record is from RNAcentral.
UUGGUGUUGGGGUCCUACGGCUGCCGUAGGCCCUGAAAGCUAGUGGCGGGCUCGCUAUAACUCCGAGCGUAGUAGUAAAAUAUCUCGCUAGGGAGGUGUCGCGGGUUCCGGCCGUGAAAGCCCAUCUUUUACACAAGGUUGACCUCGGAUCAGGUAGGAAUACCCGCUGAACUUAAGCAUAUCAAUAAGCGGAGGAAAAGAAACCAACAGGGAUUGCCCCAGUAACGGCGAGUGAAGCGGCAACAGCUCAAAUUUGAAAUCUGGCUUCGGCCCGAGUUGUAAUUUGUAGAGGAUGCUUUUGGUGAGGUGCCUUCUGAGUUCCCUGGAACGGGACGCCAGAGAGGGUGAGAGCCCCGUAUAGUUGGACACCGAGCCUCUGUAAAGCUCCUUCGACGAGUCGAGUAGUUUGGGAAUGCUGCUCAAAAUGGGAGGUAUAUCUCUUCUAAAGCUAAAUACUGGCCAGAGACCGAUAGCGCACAAGUAGAGUGAUCGAAAGAUGAAAAGCACUUUGAAAAGAGGGUUAAAUAGUACGUGAAAUUGUUGAAAGGGAAGCGCUUGUGACCAGACUUGUGCCCGGCUGAUCAUCCAGUGUUCUCACUGGUGCACUCUGCCGGGCUCAGGCCAGCGUCGGUUCUCGCAGGGGGACAAAAGCUUCGGGAACGUAGCUCCUCC